CAGAGUCCAGUCCGGCUCUUAUCUCAGCACAGGGUGGUUUACCUUCAUUCUGGCCAUGGACGCCUGUUACGGCAUUCACGUCUACGGGAUGAUAAAUGACACCUACUGCAAGACAGAAGGAUAUAGAAAAGUCCCCUACCAUUACUAUGAACAAGGAAGAGAUGAGUGUGAUGAAUAUUUUCUUCAUGAGCAUGCCCCAUAUGGGGGGCAUAGGUUUAUCACUGAAAAGAAAGUGUUUGCUAAAUGGGCCACAAAACACAGGAUAAUAUUUACACACCCAAACUGGACAGUGUCUUGAUGUUGGUUUUUAAGGUCUUGCCACAACACUUGACAUGAUCAUGGUACAUGAAACCACAACUGUGAUGCUGACGCCGUUAACAAUGAUGACGGCGAUGAUACAGACAACAACGAUGCUGAUCAAGUUCCUGUACAUUCUCAGAUAUGGAUGAUGACUCUGCUAGUAAUUUAAACUUGGGAUUUCGUGGAGGGUGGUUGUGCUCAUUAUGUUAUUUCUGAAGGUUCAACACUAUAUACUGCACUUUAUAAUUUAACUGGAAUUGAAAUGAAGGCCAGUGACAUGAUAACUGUGACCUAAGAAAUGGGAAGAUUUUCCUUCAAGAUAGCUGCCCAGAAUUAUUAAACAGUGAGUAACCCCCAAAAGCCAUGGGAUUUGGCCUCAUGAGGCAAGGUUAUUGACUCAGUGGCUUUCUGAACCUGAGCAGCUCUAACAUCUUGAAGAAUGGUUGAUUGUCAAACACUGACCCUAGAAAUGCUAUCAGGGUGCAAGUAUCUUACCACAGUUAGUAGUUAGCCUGGAGAAGGGAAGGUGUCUCUUCCUGAUAUACCAUCUUCCCUCAGUACUUCCUACAGCUAAAGCCUCAGGCCAUCACCUAAUUAACAAUGAAGAUAUCACGGACAUCCUACACAUCAGGAUUACUUGACUAUCUCAAACACUUAAUUAAAAAUGGGCCAACUUAGCAAAUCUUGAUGAAUUUCCACUCUUACCAUCCAUCCAUUCUUACUUCCCAAAACAGUAUAACUAAACAUGUUAUUAGAAUGAUCUAUAUUAAUGUUUAGUUAUUUUUGGUUGAUUCCUAAAUCUUUCAAAAGGCUAUUUAACAUGUAAGAUACCAACUUAAACACUGUAAUAACAUAUACUGUGAAAACAUUCCUAAAACAUAACCAAAGGGUUUACUAACUCUGCUUCAACAUCCAAUAAGACAAACAUAUAUGCUUUUUAAAAUCAUGAAACAGGGAAAGCAAAGCAUAUUUUUACAUCAAUUUGUAUCCUAUCAUACUUCAUAAUAUAUAUUUGUAUAUUCAAAUUUCUAUUUUAUAGGCCCAAGAUGUGUCUCUCCAUACAUUACAUUAUCAUUGCCAAGUGCCAACUGUUAGACAUGGAGAGAAAAUGAUUCCUUGUAUUAAAUCUGACCAGAGCUUUUGCCUUCUAGGGGUUUAAUUUCCCCAUAGUGUAUCAGUUGUUAUACCAUAAUAACAACAACAAUGAUGACCUUAACGUCCAAAGUGCUUUGUCAUUUAGAGUCUUUUCACAUCUGCUAGACAACGUGAUGCCCGUGACCACCUCAUUGGGCAAAUGCCUGUGCAUUCUGCCCUCUCUUUAGCAGAUGAUCUGUAAUUUGUUAAUUGUUCUGAUAUCUUCGAGAUUGCUCUACUUGCUAAUACUUGUAUAGAAUAGCAUUUAUGUAGACUAGUAACCAACUGAUUUCAGGGCCAAACACAAUAUAUUAUAUCAGGAUUAUGUAAAAAGUAUCACAAAGAAUGAUCUUGGUCAUAUAUGAGGACCUCUGUGAACUUGAGUAGUUUUGCCUUUUUUUAAUAGUCCUAAACUAGAGGUAGAGACAGAUUGACUGUUUUUUUUUUUAAUGGUUCUAUAUAGGUGGAGAAAAGAUGAAGAAACAGGGACAACAGGAGGGAAUGAGAGCAGAGAAAUGUAGUUUCCUGUCUCAGGCUUGAGACAGCUCUGUUUUCCAUAUACUCAUUGCUCUUCAAAUAUUGGGGAGUUGACUUGCUGAGAAAGUAGCUGAGAGUUCAAAGACAUCUUUGCAGAAUGAUCCAGAAAGCAAAAGCCAGGUACAACUUACAAAAUGUUUUGGAGGCUGGAAGUAAUGAUGCAUUUUACUUUAGAAGUACUUUCUGGUCUUCACUAGUGCUAAGUAUCAUGAUGAGUUAUCACUAAAAUGUGUCAUCUAGGGUAAAAGCCUCUUUGCUGCUCUCUUCUGCCAUUUUGGCACCCCAGUACUUAUAUCCAUAAAACUUGCCAAGCCCCAGUUCUGUCCUUGGAGGGAGUUGUUAUUCUUGUUUUGUUUCCUUAUAUGAUUUUCAGUUCUAUGAAUGUUAGUUUUAUUUUUGAGCUAAUGAUGGAUAAGAAUGCCCACUUAAAGAAAAAUAGAUACAAAUGCUGAAAUGAUAAUACAGAUUGUUUUCCCCCUGUUGUGAUACAAACAUUCCACUUUUAAAUAAAAAGGAAUCCUUGAUUAAUCAGAA
Molecule: long non-coding RNA, 2505 nt
Organism: Lemur catta (Ring-tailed lemur)
Lineage: Eukaryota; Metazoa; Chordata; Mammalia; Primates; Lemuridae
Exons: 2
Source: RefSeq, a predicted model, not a curated record